GAGUGGCUCCACUUUAGUGGACU
RNAcentral lists this non-coding RNA (23 nucleotides) under Arabidopsis thaliana (thale cress). The record is from RNAcentral. Lineage: Eukaryota; Viridiplantae; Streptophyta; Magnoliopsida; Brassicales; Brassicaceae.